UAGCAAAGAGAGAAGACAUAAUACCUCCGUCUGCCGUGGACCUGUGGAGGAGAAAAGAGGCCGCGCGACAGUUGAAGCUUCCUCAAGUGUCCAAUAGAGGGCGCCCUCAGCUUGAGCCUUUGCGCCCUCGGCUGCUGCUUUCAGGUCUGGAGACCUCCAGAGUGUCACUUCCACAUCUGCCAAGUUUCCAACCAUCCAGACCUGUUCAACCGCGUCCACCAAAGGCAGCGCCGAGGAGACCCCUCAGGACUGAAGUAUGGACAGGCAUGGACUUUGGGCUUUUUAUAAAGAACAGCCCGGGUUUCCCAAGAUAUGGUGCCAAAUGAGGUAGGACCCAACUAGUUUAAUGUGCAACAGAAAAAUAAAU
Long non-coding RNA from Triplophysa rosa, 367 nucleotides. RefSeq lists it as uncharacterized. The record is from RefSeq and is a predicted model, not a curated record. The transcript has 3 exons. NCBI's taxonomy places the organism in Eukaryota, Metazoa, Chordata, Actinopteri, Cypriniformes, Nemacheilidae.